Molecule: ribosomal RNA, 460 nt
Filed under: uncultured bacterium
Lineage: Bacteria
Description: partial 16S ribosomal RNA
Rfam family: Bacterial small subunit ribosomal RNA
Source: RNAcentral
CCUACGGGCGGCAGCAGUGAGGAAUAUUGGUCAAUGGGCUUACGCCUGAACCAGCCAAGUCGCGUGAGGGAAGACUGCCCUAUGGGUUGUAAACCUCUUUUGUCAGGGAGCAACGCCGGCUACGUGUAGCCGGACUGAGAGUACCUGAAGAAUAAGCAUCGGCUAACUCCGUGCCAGCAGCCGCGGUAAUACGGAGGAUGCGAGCGUGAUCCGGAUUUAUUGGGUUAAAAGGGUGCGUAGGCGGAAGGCCAAGUCAGCGGUAAACUCGCGGGGCGAAACCUCGCUCCGCCGAUGAAACUGGCGUUCUUGAGUGGGCGAGGAGUAUGCGGAAUGCGUGGUGUAGCAGUGAAAUGCAUAGAUAUCACGCAGAACUCUGAUUGCGAAGGCAGCAUACCGGCGCCCAACUGACGCUGAAGCACGAAAGCGUGGGUAUCGAAAAGGAUUAGAUACCCCAGUAGUC